Molecule: ribosomal RNA, 1343 nt
Filed under: uncultured bacterium
Lineage: Bacteria
Description: 16S ribosomal RNA
Rfam family: Bacterial small subunit ribosomal RNA
Source: RNAcentral
GACGAACGCUGGCGGCGUGCUUAACACAUGCAAGUCGAACGGAAAGGCCCUGCUUUUGUGGGGUGCUCGAGUGGCGAACGGGUGAGUAACACGUGAGUAACCUGCCCUUGACUUUGGGAUAACUUCAGGAAACUGGGGCUAAUACCGGAUAGGAGCUCCUGCUGCAUGGUGGGGGUUGGAAAGUUUCGGCGGUUGGGGAUGGACUCGCGGCUUAUCAGCUUGUUGGUGGGGUAGUGGCUUACCAAGGCUUUGACGGGUAGCCGGCCUGAGAGGGUGACCGGCCACAUUGGGACUGAGAUACGGCCCAGACUCCUACGGGAGGCAGCAGUGGGGAAUAUUGCACAAUGGGCGGAAGCCUGAUGCAGCAACGCCGCGUGCGGGAUGACGGCCUUCGGGUUGUAAACCGCUUUCGCCUGUGACGAAGCGUGAGUGACGGUAAUGGGUAAAGAAGCACCGGCUAACUACGUGCCAGCAGCCGCGGUGAUACGUAGGGUGCGAGCGUUGUCCGGAUUUAUUGGGCGUAAAGGGCUCGUAGGUGGUUGAUCGCGUCGGAAGUGUAAUCUUGGGGCUUAACCCUGAGCGUGCUUUCGAUACGGGUUGACUUGAGGAAGGUAGGGGAGAAUGGAAUUCCUGGUGGAGCGGUGGAAUGCGCAGAUAUCAGGAGGAACACCAGUGGCGAAGGCGGUUCUCUGGGCCUUUCCUGACGCUGAGGAGCGAAAGCGUGGGGAGCGAACAGGCUUAGAUACCCUGGUAGUCCACGCUGUAAACGGUGGGUACUAGGUGUGGGGUCCAUUCCACGGGUUCCGUGCCGUAGCUAACGCUUUAAGUACCCCGCCUGGGGAGUACGGCCGCAAGGCUAAAACUCAAAGGAAUUGGCGGGGCCCCGCACAAGCGGCGGAGCAUGCGGAUUAAUUCGAUGCAACGCGUAGAACCUUACCUGGGUUUGACAUGGAUCGGGAGUGCUCAGAGAUGGGUGUGCCUCUUUUGGGGUCGGUUCACAGGUGGUGCAUGCCUGUCGUCAGCUCGUGUCGUGGGAUGUUGGGUUAAGUCCCGCAACGAGCGCAACCCUUGUUCACUGUUGCCAGCACGUUAUGGUGGGGACUCAGUGGAGACCGCCGGGGUCAACUCGGAGGAAGGUGGGGAUGACGUCAAGUCCUCAUGCCCCUUAUGUCCAGGGCUUCACGCAUGCUACAAUGGCUGGUACAGAGAGUGGCGAGCCUGUGAGGGUGAGCGAAUCUCGGAAAGCCGGUCUCAGUUCGGAUUGGGGUCUGCAACUCGACCUCAUGAAGUCGGAGUCGCUAGUAAUCGCAGAUCAGCAACGCUGCGGUGAAUACGUUCCCGGG